AAAAACAACAAAAACUUCUCUGCUUCACUUUCACGUGAACCAUAACCCUUAACCUCUUCCCCUUUGCUCAGCCGCCAGCCGGCAGCCACGCUGGACCACCGUCACUACACCGACCUCCUGCCACCAUCCCCUCCGCCGUCGCGCACGCAACCACCACCUGUACCACCACCUGCUCCCGCCGACUUCCCAUCGCCACAACCCAGCCGUCGACCAACCUCCUCCCUUCUCCUUUACAUACACAAGAAAUCUCCCCUCCUAUUUUCUUUGUUGCUCCGCACGCAGCUACCAGUCGUGCUGCACCACCCGUCGCGCCACCAAGAGUGUUGAACCACCGACGUACCCACCGUCUGCUGCCGCCACUGUCGCCGGCCAGCAGCUUCCUUCUUCCUCACUUUUGGUGGAGAAUUCUCUUUAGGCAACUUUUGAAAGUGUUAAGGUGACGUAUCAGUUUGUU
Spinacia oleracea (spinach) is the source of this 454-nucleotide long non-coding RNA. RefSeq lists it as uncharacterized. The record is from RefSeq and is a predicted model, not a curated record. NCBI's taxonomy places the organism in Eukaryota, Viridiplantae, Streptophyta, Magnoliopsida, Caryophyllales, Amaranthaceae. The transcript has 3 exons.